Molecule: small RNA, 112 nt
Filed under: Thermoanaerobacterales bacterium
Lineage: Bacteria; Bacillati; Bacillota; Clostridia; Thermoanaerobacterales
Description: 6S RNA
Rfam family: 6S / SsrS RNA
About the family: E. coli 6S RNA was the first non coding RNA to be sequenced, but its function was unknown until recently. It consists of 184 nucleotides that fold into an extended hairpin structure with a large single-stranded internal bulge. The 6S RNA specifically associates with RNA polymerase holoenzyme containing the sigma70 specificity factor.
Source: RNAcentral
AGAGCCAACACUCUGAUAUAGGGAGUUCGGUCUCUGGAUGCAGCAUAUAAGCCCUUUCGAAGGGAAAUAUAAAGCACUCAGGAGGACACCCACCUGGGGAGCCGGGUCUCUA